GAGCUGAUUUACUCCUCACAAUUAACUCAUAAGGUUAGCACAAUUAGUAUCCCAGCUUUAGGGAUGACAAUUCAAGGUUAGAGAAGAUAAAUUGCUUAAGAUCACCUAACUAGUAUAUUGGAGAGCCUCGUUUUGAACCCACAACAAAUGGGAUCAACAUAUUGACAAUGAUGAGGGAAGACAUCAUAUAAGAACCAUUGGAAACAAAGGUUAAUGCUAGAAAAGAUAGUUCAAUUUGAAUGUGAAAGUAUUAUGCUGAAAUAUAUAUUUAAAGACUGUUACUCAGAGAUUAGAGAGGGCAGUGGACCUUUUUUUUUUUUUUUUUUUUUUUUUUUGGUCUUCUCAGAAAUGUAUUUCUCUAGGCUGGAUAAUUUUCUACUACUCUACACUUACCACGUGGUUCUGAUGGACCCUUAGUUCCAGUACCCUAUCUCCUUGACUAUGGUGAUUUCUCUGGCAACAGUCUCUUAAAGCAGAACCAAUUGCAGCACUUACAUUACUUUCUGAACACAACUGACAAGAAAGAGUUUAUUUCCUCUUAGAUAACUACACUGCAGAAAUAUGAAUAUGAAGUAGCCUGAGACCAUGCUCCUUACUACACAAAGUUAGCUUGUGUGUAGAAGACGAGAAUGAAGCUAACAUAGAAAGGAAUCAAGAGAUGGGAAGAGAGAUCUGACAGCUUACCUUUCCAUGGAUUCACUUGUCUCCCAGAUGAGCUUUACCCCUUCUUUUUUACCAGGUUACUUACAUAUGCCAACAAACUCUCCUUGUUAAUUUAAACUCACUUUAAAAGCCCUAAAGAAUAGAAGUUGACACAAUAAGAGGUCUGUACCAUUUACAGGGUUUGGAGAUCAUGGAGAACCAUAUUAGAAAAAUAAGAUAAAUAGAAGAUCUGAGAGACAUCAUGAAGAAAGUAUCCACACAACUUUGAAACAGGAUGACCUUGACAGGAUAAAGAAGAACAGAGAUUCCAAGUUCAAGAGAGAAGCAAGAGAUGGGGUCUCACUAUGUUACCUGCUACCAAGACUGGUCUUCAGGGUCUCGAAUGACCCUCCUGCCUUCGCUUCCCAAAAUUUUGGGAUUACAGAUAAGAGAGCUCAGUGAUAUGAAAGGUGCUCAAUAUCUGGCACAUAGAAGAUGCUCAGUAAAUGGUGAAUAUUCUUAUGUGGAUUUCAAAAAAAACAAACAAACAAACAAAAAAGAAUGGAGUUUGGAGGACUAG
This 1222-nucleotide long non-coding RNA is filed under the name Papio anubis (olive baboon). RNAcentral's name for it is "lncRNA (ENSPANG00000048836.1)". Lineage: Eukaryota; Metazoa; Chordata; Mammalia; Primates; Cercopithecidae. The record is from RNAcentral.